Molecule: ribosomal RNA, 526 nt
Filed under: Pseudobalistes flavimarginatus (yellowmargin triggerfish)
Lineage: Eukaryota; Metazoa; Chordata; Actinopteri; Tetraodontiformes; Balistidae
Description: partial 16S ribosomal RNA
Rfam family: Bacterial large subunit ribosomal RNA
Source: RNAcentral
UAAGAGGUCCCGCCUGCCCUGUGACUAUACGUUUAACGGCCGCGGUAUUUUGACCGUGCGAAGGUAGCGCAAUCACUUGUCUCUUAAAUGGGGACCUGUAUGAACGGCAUGACGAGGGUUUAACUGUCUCCUUUUUCAAGUUAAUGAAAUUGAUCCCCCCGUGCAGAAGCGGGGAUACGAACAUAAGACGAGAAGACCCUAUGGAGCUUUAGGCAACAAGCAGACCGUACAAAAUGUCCCCUAAUUAAAGGAACAAAACAUACGAAACCUGACCCAAUGCCUUUGGUUGGGGCGACCGCGGGGAAACAAAAAACCCCCAUGUGGAAUGGGACCACCCACCCUCCAAACAAGAGCCCCCGCUCUAAAAAACAGAACAUCUGACCUACAAGAUCCGGCAAAGCCGAUCAACGGACCGAGUUACCCUAGGGAUAACAGCGCAAUCCCCUUAUAGAGCCCAUAUCGACAAGGGGGUUUACGACCUCGAUGUUGGAUCAGGAUAUCCUAAUGGUGCAGCCGCUAUUAAGGG